UACGGAGGGGGCUAGCGUUGUUCGGAAUUACUGGGCGUAAAGCGUACGUAGGCGGCUUUGUAAGUUAGAGGUGAAAGCCCGGGGCUCAACUCCGGAAUUGCCUUUAAGACUGCAUCGCUUGAAUUGUGGAGAGGUAAGUGGAAUUCCGAGUGUAGAGGUGAAAUUCGUAGAUAUUCGGAAGAACACCAGUGGCGAAGGCGACUUACUGGACACAUAUUGACGCUGAGGUGCGAAAGCGUGGGGAGCAAACAGG
Molecule: ribosomal RNA, 253 nt
Filed under: uncultured bacterium
Lineage: Bacteria
Description: partial 16S ribosomal RNA
Rfam family: Bacterial small subunit ribosomal RNA
Source: RNAcentral